This is a long non-coding RNA of Neofelis nebulosa (Clouded leopard), 2077 nucleotides long. RefSeq lists it as uncharacterized. The record is from RefSeq and is a predicted model, not a curated record. NCBI's taxonomy places the organism in Eukaryota, Metazoa, Chordata, Mammalia, Carnivora, Felidae. The transcript is spliced from 3 exons.
CCUUUGUUUAAAUAGCAUGUUUGCUCUUUUUAAAGGAGGGAAUUAAUGUUGAAGGACCUUGGACCUGGAGGAACAUACAAGAAAAGCAACGCUAGAGUGCCAUCUAGUGUCGACAACAUUUUUUAAUGCAGCAUAUCAAAGAAAGGAUGUGUAGAUGCAGCUGUGAUUAAUUAAACAUGUUUACGUGGAUAGGAAGAGGAUGGAGGAGACAUCCAAUCUAUGCAAAGUCCCACCCUCAGCACCUUGCCUCAGGUCUCCUGGUUUUGACCUCCAGCUCCUCUCCCAAAUGAGUUCCCUUCUAUCUGAGUGUGAAUUAGCUCUCCUCACUUGCCAACUUCCACUGCCCCAGCAUCCGCACAAAGGUUAACUUCUAUCUGCUCAAAGCCUGAACAUGUGACCACCGGCAUGCUGGUGCUCCAGAAGCUAAAGGAACAGUGCAGUGGAAUAAACACUUACUGUCACCCAUUCUCCUCCCCAACCUGGGCCCAGUCAAGGGCAUCACAUCCCACCAGGGCCUGUGCCCUGAGCUGUGACCAGGUGACCGGUGGCAAACAGAACUGUGGUGCAAGGCAUCACCAGAAUCAACGCAGGAGAUCAGGGACAGCAAAGAGCAGCUUCCGCUUAACCACCUGAACAAGAAUGUAAAACGGAAACAUCUGCUCUCCCACUGUGUCCUAGACCAAAGGAGGGGGAUUGCUGCUAGCUCUUAGGUUACAGUAAGGUUUCAUUUAAGUUUUCUUCAUAUUAAGGACAUGGUUACGUUGUUUUUAAAUGUCAGAAAACUCUAAACCAAAAGUACCCUCCAGUACUUCCUUUACUAUGUGCUUUCUUUACUACGAUCAGCAAUCAGUUCAGUUUUAUUGUUUUAGUUCAUGUAUUGAGUGAGGGUCGCAUCAUCCUUUGACAGACUGAACCCAGGGCUCUGUAUGAAUAUAACUUCCUUAAUCAGUUGCAGAUGGAGAAGUUUAGUUGACUAGUUACAUAGAGAAAGAGGCCAUGAGAGAGCCCUGACAUUCUUACUAAUGUUUGCAGCAGCUAGGGGAAUAAAAUGAAUAGAAAAAUCCUGGGUUUCAAUGUCCAACUCUCCUUGGAUUGGGAUGUCCAUUGGACUCUCUCCAUUUCACCAAGCACAUUGGUUACUUCUUGUGGGAGAGAACCCCGGAGAGAGCAGAAAUGAGAGGAUGGAGAAAGGAAGUGGAGAUAAUGCUCCAAAACAGUUUCUUCCAGAGAUUGGAGGCUAAUCUCCCCCAGAGAAACAGGAGGGAGAGAGAACAAGGUUCCCCCUGAAUGUUCUCUUUACUAACAGCUUUGCAAACUGUUUACAGACAGAAGAUACAAAUACUUAAACAAUUGGGAAAUACUAAUAGAGCAAACUAGUCUGAGAAAGACAAUGUCAUUGGGAGUCAUAUAGAGGGAAGAAUUUCAUAGAGAAGAUAAAAUUUGAGAUGACCUGGGAAAGACGGAGUAAGUUCAUCAAAUAUGAGGGGUUAUCAAGCACCAUCACGUAAGGCAGUGGGUGCUGGGCUCUAUAAACAGAGAUAAGUAAGUCACUAUCUCUAAGUUCUGGAAGCUCAUGGCCUGAGUCAGUGGCUUGCAAAUGUAGCUGUGCAUUAGAAUCAUCUGAGGGGAUUUUUAAAAAUACAUAUAAUCUUGAUUUAAUUUAUCUGGAGUAGAUUCUGGGUAUCAUCUUUUUAAACCUCAGGUAUAGGCAAAGAGUUCAUGAAGAAGACAAAAAAGAUAACCAUAAAAAAUUUGGACUUCAAUGAAGUCAAGAUUUUACAAUCAUUAAAGAGUUAAAAUACAAACCACAGACUGGAUGAAGAUAUAUAUUAGCAAUGAAUAUAUUCAAGAACUGGAAACAAUACAAAUGUCCCUCAAUAGGAGAAUAGGUAAAUAAAUUGUGGUACACUGAUACAAUACUACACACAAUAAAAGAAAAACUACCUACACACAGAACAAAAUGGGUGAAUCUCAAAUUUUACUGAGUGGAAGAAGCCAGAGACAGAAGAGUAUAUAUUGAAUAAUUAUUAAAAUUUCAACAGGUAAAUCUAAUCAUGGCAAUCCAAGUUAUCUUUUG